CCAGACUCCUACGGGAGGCAGCAGUGGGGAAUAUUGCACAAUGGGCGAAAGCCUGAUGCAGCAACGCCGCGUGAAGGAAGACGGUUUUCGGAUUGUAAACUUCUGUUCUUAGUGAAGAAUAAUGACGGUAACUAAGGAGCAAGCUCCGGCUAACUACGUGCCAGCAGCCGCGGUAAUACGUAGGGAGCAAGCGUUAUCCGGAUUUACUGGGUGUAAAGGGCGUGUAGGCGGGCAUGCAAGCCAGAAGUGAAAUCUGGGGGCUUAACCCCCAAACUGCUUUUGGAACUGCGUGUCUUGAGUGAUGGAGAGGCAGGCGGAAUUCCCAGUGUAGCGGUGAAAUGCGUAGAUAUUGGGAGGAACACCAGUGGCGAAGGCGGCCUGCUGGACAUUAACUGACGCUGAGGCGCGAAAGCGUGGGGAGCAAACAGGAUUAGAUACCCGCGUA
This 445-nucleotide ribosomal RNA is filed under the name uncultured bacterium. Its description in RNAcentral is "bacterial SSU rRNA". It matches the Rfam family "Bacterial small subunit ribosomal RNA", at positions 331 to 792 of the family's 1533-position model. The record is from RNAcentral.